UAAGACAGAGGGUGCAAACGUUGUUCGGAAUUACUGGGCGUAAAGCGCGUGUAGGCGGCUAUGUAAGUCGGGCGUGAAAUCCCACGGCUCAACCGUGGAAGUGCACCCGAAACUGCGUAGCUAGAGUCCUGGAGAGGAAGGUGGAAUGCUUGGUGUAGAGGUGAAAUUCGUAGAUAUCAAGCGGAACACCGGUGGCGAAGGCGGCCUUCUGGACAGUGACUGACGCUGAGACGCGAAAGCGUGGGGAGCAAACAGGAUUAGAUACCCUGGUAGUCCACGCCGUAAACGAUGAGUGCUAGGUGUCACGGGCUUUGACCCUCGUGGUGCCGAAGCUAACGCGUUAAGCACUCCGCCUGGGGAGUACGGCCGCAAGGCUA
RNAcentral lists this ribosomal RNA (377 nucleotides) under uncultured bacterium. Its description in RNAcentral is "bacterial SSU rRNA". It matches the Rfam family "Bacterial small subunit ribosomal RNA", at positions 521 to 896 of the family's 1533-position model. The record is from RNAcentral.